This 497-nucleotide ribosomal RNA is filed under the name uncultured bacterium. RNAcentral's name for it is "partial 16S ribosomal RNA". It matches the Rfam family "Bacterial small subunit ribosomal RNA", at positions 29 to 507 of the family's 1533-position model. The record is from RNAcentral.
AAUGAACGCUGGCGGCAUGCCUAAUACAUGCAAGUCGAGCGGACGCACCAGAAGCUUGCUCCUCUGAUUUUAGCGCCGGACGGGUGAUUACCACUUGGAUAGCCUACCUAUAAGACUGGUAUAACUUCGUGAAACCGGACCUAAUACCGGAUGAUUUUUUGAACUGCAUGCUUCAAGAGUGAAAUACGGUCUUUCUGUCACUUAUAGCUCGACCCGCGCUGCAUUAGCUGGUUGUUCAGGUAACUGCUUACCAACGCAAGUAUGCAUAUCCGACCUGAGAGCGAGGACGACUACAUGGGAACAGAGAAUCGGUCCAGACACCUACGGGAGGCAGCAGUAGGGAAUCUUACGCAAUGGGCGAGAGCCGGACGGAGCAACACCGCGGGAGGGAUGAAGGUCUUAGGAUCGGAAAACUCUGUUAUUAGGGAAGAACAAAUGUGUUAGUAACUGUGCACAUCUUGACGGUACCUAAUCAGAAAGCCCCGGCUAACUACGUG